AUACACAUUAGCCUUUUCUUUCCUAAGGUUAUUUUCCCUUAGCCAACUAUGCCAUCCGACUCGGUCUUGAGUCAAUCAACUGCGGAUAGUCCGCGCUCUGUCCGGCUCGAGGUGAAGGAACUCACACAUGCACCUCAGCCCUCAAUCACAAACCACAUCGCCCAACGGGUCGCCCAGAGCUGCGUACACCCGUGGUCAGGGAUCCCCCGGUGGGAGAGGAACAUGCCGCAUACACCCGCAGCCGAGAUCCCCGAUAGGGAGAGGAACAUGCCACAUGCACCCUAGCGCUCAUUGUUCU
Molecule: long non-coding RNA, 298 nt
Filed under: Ananas comosus (pineapple)
Lineage: Eukaryota; Viridiplantae; Streptophyta; Magnoliopsida; Poales; Bromeliaceae
Description: long non-coding RNA (ACOM_LNC036982)
Source: RNAcentral